GCCAGCUCUCUGGGGCCCUCUGCUUCCUGCCCUCACAGCCCUGCGCCUCCGGGCCUCCCUUCAGCCCCCACAGCUCCCUUCUAGCCCCAGUGAAACCCUUGUCUCUCUCCUCCUGCAGACCAUGGCGGACAGAUCAGUCCUGGCUGUGAUUCUGCUGCUCAUCUUCCCAUUCCCACUUGCCUUGGUGGACAGAUUUUAUGGGGAUGUGCAGCACACUGCCGAGGAGCUGAAACCGGCUCCCCCAGAGCCACCUCAGCCUGGCUGGGGAGCCUGGCUCCUGGCUGCCUUGCAGCAGCUGCAGCAAUUCUGGGCAAUUGCUCACACGCUGUUCCUGCCUUUGGCCUGGUGGCUCAGGCGCAGAAGGGCGGCCAUGAGGCAGAGAGCAGCGGCCCAGAGAGCUGCAGAGGAGGCCAGAAGGAGGAGGAUGAGAAUCGAGCGAAGAAGGUGGCUCCUUAAGAAGAGACAAAAAGAGAUGGAGCAAAUGCGCAGGGCCUUGAGACAACUGCAAAAGCAAAUGGCCAGGCUGAUUCAAAUGAAUAGGGAAACAAACAGCAUGGUCAAGAAGAUUUGCAUUUGCUCGCGGACAGAGACAUUUGAAGGAGGAGCCAGCCAAAUGCCAGGAGAUUGAUUCAAAUUGUAGGCCUUGCAUUUGCUCGGGGAUGGUGGCGUUUGAAGGAAGAUCGGGCCAAAUGACUGAUACCUAUUUUUAAAUAGCUUAGAAAUAGUUUCAGUAUUGUAAACAUUUACUAAACAUUUAGUAAAAUAACUAGAUUUAGCACUGUUUUCCUAAUUUUCAUAAUUUUAAGGCAGAAUAAUACUCCAGUAAAAUAUCAUUAUAAUGGUAAUAAUAAGUAAUAGUUAGGUACCUAAAUGUAUUAUUUACUUUAUAGAUUAACUGUUAUUCAGCAAAAUUAAUAGGAAUUAUGCUAAUUAAUUACAAUAGAAGUAUGAUAAAUCUUUAUCUUAAAUAGUGAAUUUUACAUAAUCUGCAUGAAAAAAUAAUUAUUUUUUACAUUAUUAAUAUUAAUAUAUAACCAUAUACAGAUUGCAGUUAGAUAAUUUUGACGAUAUUCAAAAUUCGUUAAUUUCAAUGUUUAAAACAUGUUAUUGUGACCUGAUAAUGAUGCUGACAGCCCUCCUCUCUAGGGAGUGUCAUCCCUCUGGGAGCUGCAGUCAGUGUAAAGAUCCAAUAAAGGCAAUGCCUGAACAAACA
Molecule: long non-coding RNA, 1213 nt
Organism: Passer domesticus (house sparrow)
Lineage: Eukaryota; Metazoa; Chordata; Aves; Passeriformes; Passeridae
Exons: 3
Source: RefSeq, a predicted model, not a curated record